RNAcentral lists this long non-coding RNA (397 nucleotides) under Elaeis guineensis (African oil palm). RNAcentral describes it as "long non-coding RNA (EGUI_LNC037666)". The record is from RNAcentral. Lineage: Eukaryota; Viridiplantae; Streptophyta; Magnoliopsida; Arecales; Arecaceae.
UCUAGGCCUGUCAGGAUGAGUCUUCAUAAUAGGAGGUAAAAUAUGUAUCUCAUCUGAUGUACUCUGACUCAACUCAAUAUCAAAAAUUAGAUUGAUAUAUUCUGCAUAUGUGGCUCUAUACAUGUCAGCUUCGAAAUAGUUAUCAGUGAAGUGAUAUAAAGAUCUACCAGCCUUCUCAAUGCAUGCACAUACAUGCUUAUAUGACAUCCGAAAGAUUCGCCAUUCAUCACAAGAGCAAGUGUAUUUCUGUAAGUCAACCUUACAUAAGUACUUUAUAUCUUGUACAUCGUAAAUCAUAAUGCUCGAUGUAAAGAUAGAUAACCUUCGAUCUUCUUCUGUAUUUUUUUGUAACACCUUUUUUGGAUCUGGGCAAAGAUGGGUUUGUAUAUUGUAACCU